This is a long non-coding RNA of Ictalurus punctatus (channel catfish), 1288 nucleotides long. The record is from Ensembl. NCBI's taxonomy places the organism in Eukaryota, Metazoa, Chordata, Actinopteri, Siluriformes, Ictaluridae.
GUUCUCUCAGUAGCAGUGAGGUGAUUUAGUUGUCAGUCGAAUCAGCCCUGCUAUAGAUCUCUAACAGUUAAAGGCAUUAGUACUUAAUGAAAGUUUACAUUGAAAGUUUAAUUGUAAUGAAAUUACUUGAUGAUUAGAGGGAUCACAAUACCUGAAGUCUUAACUGUCACAUUACCCACGUGUUCACGUUGCCCCAAAAUUAUGAGGUGCAUAUGGAUUUCCAUAUAACGUUUAUAAUUCUGAUUUUUUUUUUAAUUAAAAUUUGGUUUAUGAUCUCACAAGAUUUCACAAUAUUUACAAAAAAAGUUUACCUGUGUCACUGAGCAACGUUUAUCAGAAUGAGGGGAUUUGCCUUUUGAUUUAAAAAAAUAAAAAGACGUUGCGUGAUCAGUGAUCGACGUGCACUCAAACUACAGAGUCAGUGAUGUAGCUGCUUUGAGCAGACAUUUAAUGUUUGUUUUUAAAAAGGAAAAAAAAAAAGUAAAUGGGACCCUCGGAUGUGUAGCACAUGUCGAUUAAUCAUAGUAAAACGAUACAAGAUGUUGACUAAUUUCAGAGAUGGGUCAUCUGAAACUCCCCUGAGGGCGUCGGCUGAAACUCGACAUGCGUUCCUGUAAAUACGUCCAAAACAAGAAGUUUGAAUAAACGCUGCUUUCCUGAAGUACACAUUCAGAUUCAGUUCCGCUCUGCAGCCUCUGUGUGUCGAAACAAAAAAGCACGGUGAUGAAGUGAUCUUUUUGAAGAUGUCCAUGACUAUACUGGGUGUCAAAUAUUUUGGGAAGCAAUUAUUUGUCCAAAUGACAAGUGUUUGAAUAAAUAAAUAAAUAAAUAAAUAAAUAAAAUACCCUGAACUUUCUGUUCAGACGUUUGCAUUAAAUCUGAAGCCAUGACGUUAGAAAUUUUCAGUUCUGGAUAUUGUCCAGUUUUAGUGUUUUAUUUUUUUUUAAAGUUAGAGUUCUAAAAGUAUUAGUUUUUUUUUUUCCUUUUCAUUCCUAAAGUCUUGCUUUGUCGUUCAGGCCUAAAUUAAAGGACCAAGCUUUUUCCUUUCAUUUUAUCCGUGAAUUUCUGGUGAUGUCAUGCUGCCUAAUACCGAGGCAGCCUCCUCCCUAAUAAAGUCCUCAUCCACGACCAAGUGCCGUCCUUUUUGGCCUCUUUAGGUUCCUGUAUAUUUUUGUUCUGAUUCGUUGUAAUUAUCGUUUUCCUAAAUCUUGUAGCAAAUAAAAACCGACUUGCUAUGAUGUAGCUUGUGUUGCUCGUGUCAUUGUGGAGAAUGAUGUGAUUUUCCUGC